UACAGAGGGUGCAAACGUUGCUCGGAUUUACUGGGCGUAAAGCGCGUGUAGGCGGACUCGCAAGUCGGUUGUGAAAUCCCUGGGCUCAACCUAGGAACUGCAUCCGAAACUGCUUGUCUUGAGUAAUGGAGAGGGUGGCGGAAUUCCCGGUGUAGAGGUGAAAUUCGUAGAUAUCGGGAGGAACAUCAGUGGCGAAGGCGGCCACCUGGACAUUUACUGACGCUGAGACGCGAAAGUGUGGGGAUCAAACAGG
Molecule: ribosomal RNA, 253 nt
Filed under: uncultured bacterium
Lineage: Bacteria
Description: partial 16S ribosomal RNA
Rfam family: Bacterial small subunit ribosomal RNA
Source: RNAcentral